This is a non-coding RNA of Mycena belliarum, 95 nucleotides long. Lineage: Eukaryota; Fungi; Basidiomycota; Agaricomycetes; Agaricales; Mycenaceae. The record is from the annotation of a GenBank genome assembly.
GGACCCAGAGCUUAGUUGGUUGAGCCGCGCCCUUCGAUUCGGGUGUCCGUUGUAUUCCGAUGGCGUUGGUGAGGGUUCGAAUCCCUCGGGGUUCA